This is a long non-coding RNA of Neofelis nebulosa (Clouded leopard), 783 nucleotides long. RefSeq lists it as uncharacterized. Lineage: Eukaryota; Metazoa; Chordata; Mammalia; Carnivora; Felidae. The transcript has 3 exons. The record is from RefSeq and is a predicted model, not a curated record.
CGAUUGUGCCGCUGCCGUGUGUGUGCUGGGACGGAAUGGCCGGGUAAAGAUUGGCGGGCAGUGGGAGCCGGGUUCUCGCUGUUAGAGUUGACACUUCAGGUCAGCAAGGGAAGGAGGCUCCGGAGACCCACGAGGUACUGGAUUGCACUCAGAGACAUCUCGAACUCACGUUUAACCUUCCGCGGACACAGAUGGCUCCACAGAGAAACGUGUAUGGACGUGCAUGCAGUUGGGUCACCAUAUGCACUUAUGUCUCCUUGCCGUGGCCAUUAAGAGGGCCGGAGGGACUCGGGCAACGAGGACACCAAGCACCCAGAUACCCCACUCUGAAGGAGGGGGAGCAGAACUCCUUGCUCCUGAAGUGCGCGCUGUGCAUGGAGAUUCCUUCCAGGCAGGACAGUCAGAAAAGGGGGAAAAGGAGAAACUUCACAGUGGAGAAACUGACAAAAGGCUACUGGCAGGGAAAAGCAUCAGACAAAUUCCCCUGGAGAAGCAGACUGCAAUACACCUGACCAGUACUCCUCAAAAUCCCAGACAAGGAAAGUCAGAAAUUGUCACGGCCAAGACUACUGAACCUAGAGACAUGAUAACUGCACACAGUGAGGUACCCUGGAAGAGGUCUUGGAACAGAAAAAGGAGAUGGGGCAAAGAAGAAAACCCGAAGAGAGUGUAUAAACUUUAAUUGAUAACAAUGUAUCAAAAAUUUAAAAAUAAAGAUAUAAAAAAACCACUGUGUCAAUAUUGGCUCACGAAAUGUAACAAAUUGUUACAAAUUGUUACGAA